AGUAGCAUAAUUGGUUAAUGCAACAGACUGUUAAUCUGUAGAUUGCUGGUUCGAGUCCAGCCU
Molecule: transfer RNA, 63 nt
Filed under: pig gut metagenome
Rfam family: tRNA
About the family: Transfer RNA (tRNA) molecules are approximately 80 nucleotides in length. Their secondary structure includes four short double-helical elements and three loops (D, anti-codon, and T loops).
Source: RNAcentral